AUUGAACGCUGGCGGCAUGCUUUACACAUGCCAGUCGAACGGCAGCGCGGGCUUCGGCCUGGCGGCGAGUGGCGAACGGGUGAGUAAUACAUCGGAACGUGCCCAGUAGUGGGGGAUAGCUCGGCGAAAGCCGGAUUAAUACCGCAUACGACCUGAGGGGGAAAGCGGGGGAUCUUCGGACCUCGCGCUAUUGGAGCGGCCGAUGGCAGAUUAGCUAGUUGGUGGGGUAAAGGCCUACCAAGGCGACGAUCUGUAGCUGGUCUGAGAGGACGACCAGCCACACUGGGACUGAGGCACGGCCCAGACUCCUACGGGAGGCAGCAGUGGGGAAUUUUGGACAAUGGGCGAAAGCCUGAUCCAGCAAUGCCGCGUGUGUGAUGAAGGCCUUCGGGUUGUAAAGCACUUUUGGCGGGAACGAAAAGGACUGUGCCAAUACCACGGUUCGAUGACGGUACCCGCAGAAUAAGCACCGGCUAACUACGUG
This 484-nucleotide ribosomal RNA is filed under the name uncultured bacterium. RNAcentral describes it as "partial 16S ribosomal RNA". It matches the Rfam family "Bacterial small subunit ribosomal RNA", at positions 29 to 507 of the family's 1533-position model. The record is from RNAcentral.